AUUUAUACAACUUUCAGCAACGGAUCUCUUGGCUCUCGCAUCGAUGAAGAACGCAGCGAAAUGCGAUAAGUAAUGUGAAUUGCAGAAUUCAGUGAAUCAUCGAAUCUUUGAACGCACCUUGCGCUCCUUGGUAUUCCGAGGAGCAUGCCUGUUUGAGUGUCAUUAAUUUCUCAACCUCACCAGCUU
This 186-nucleotide ribosomal RNA is filed under the name Coprinopsis erythrocephala. Its description in RNAcentral is "5.8S RNA". The stretch from base 9 to 162 matches the Rfam family "5.8S ribosomal RNA". From Rfam's summary of the family: 5.8S ribosomal RNA (5.8S rRNA) is a component of the large subunit of the eukaryotic ribosome. It is transcribed by RNA polymerase I as part of the 45S precursor that also contains 18S and 28S rRNA. The record is from RNAcentral. Lineage: Eukaryota; Fungi; Basidiomycota; Agaricomycetes; Agaricales; Psathyrellaceae.